This 1346-nucleotide ribosomal RNA is filed under the name uncultured bacterium. RNAcentral's name for it is "partial 16S ribosomal RNA". It matches the Rfam family "Bacterial small subunit ribosomal RNA", at positions 28 to 1381 of the family's 1533-position model. The record is from RNAcentral.
GACGAACGCUGUCGGCGUGCUUAACACAUGCAAGUCGAACGGAAAGGCCCUGCUUUUGUGGGGUGCUCGAGUGGCGAACGGGUGAGUAACACGUGAGUAACCUGCCCUUGACUUUGGGAUAACUUCAGGAAACUGGGGCUAAUACCGGAUAGGAGCUCCUGCUGCAUGGUGGGGGUUGGAAAGUUUCGGCGGUUGGGGAUGGACUCGCGGCUUAUCAGCUUGUUGGUGGGGUAGUGGCUUACCAAGGCUUUGACGGGUAGCCGGCCUGAGAGGGUGACCGGCCACAUUGGGACUGAGAUACGGCCCAGACUCCUACGGGAGGCAGCAGUGGGGAAUAUUGCACAAUGGGCGGAAGCCUGAUGCAGCAACGCCGCGUGCGGGAUGACGGCCUUCGGGUUGUAAACCGCUUUCGCCUGUGACGAAGCGUGAGUGACGGUAAUGGGUAAAGAAGCACCGGCUAACUACGUGCCAGCAGCCGCGGUGAUACGUAGGGUGCGAGCGUUGUCCGGAUUUAUUGGGCGUAAAGGGCUCGUAGGUGGUUGAUCGCGUCGGAAGUGUAAUCUUGGGGCUUAACCCUGAGCGUGCUUUCGAUACGGGUUGACUUGAGGAAGGUAGGGGAGAAUGGAAUUCCUGGUGGAGCGGUGGAAUGCGCAGAUAUCAGGAGGAACACCAGUGGCGAAGGCGGUUCUCUGGGCCUUUCCUGACGCUGAGGAGCGGAAGCGUGGGGAGCGAACAGGCUUAGAUACCCUGGUAGUCCACGCUGUAAACGGUGGGUACUAGGUGUGGGGUCCAUUCCACGGGUUCCGUGCCGUAGCUAACGCUUUAAGUACCCCGCCUGGGGAGUACGGCCGCAAGGCUAAAACUCAAAGGAAUUGACGGGGCCCCGCACAAGCGGCGGAGCAUGCGGAUUAAUUCGAUGCAACGCGUAGAACCUUACCUGGGUUUGACAUGGAUCGGGAGUGCUCAGAGAUGGGUGUGCCUCUUUUGGGGUCGGUUCACAGGUGGUGCAUGGCUGUCGUCAGCUCGUGUCGUGAGAUGUUGGGUUAAGUCCCGCAACGAGCGCAACCCUUGUUCACUGUUGCCAGCACGUUAUGGUGGGGACUCAGUGGAGACCGCCGGGGUCAACUCGGAGGAAGGUGGGGAUGACGUCAAGUCAUCAUGCCCCUUAUGUCCAGGGCUUCACGCAUGCUACAAUGGCUGGUACAGAGAGUGGCGAGCCUGUGAGGGUGAGCGAAUCUCGGAAAGCCGGUCUCAGUUCGGAUUGGGGUCUGCAACUCGACCUCAUGAAGUCGGAGUCGCUAGUAAUCGCAGAUCAGCAACGCUGCGGUGAAUACGUUCCCGGGGCU